UGCAAUUCAUGAUUUUAUAUUAUUUUGCGAUAUUAGAGGCCUCGAGUAGGUCUGUGUCAUAUUUUGGGACUUAUUGUUAUGUUCGGACAGGGUCCCGAGGGCUCGGGUGUGUUUCGGGGUGGUUUCGAACCAUGAUGGAUAAUGAGUGCACUGCUAGUUUUCUGUUGAUUUCUGAUGCCUCUAGUGUUCUUCACGGCCGCGAAGGUAAAGCAACAAUCGCGAAAUGUAUUUUGGGCCACUCGUGGUUUAUUCAUCGUGGACGCGAUAGGUGGAGCGCGUUCGUAGAGGUUUGAAACAGUUUUUUCGCGUUUGUGCCAAUGGUACCGCGUUCGCAUUGUGGAGCUGGGAGCUAGUGGAGUUUCCUUUGCGAUCGCGAGGUCGAUGCAACGUUCGUGAAUGGUUGGCAAAGUUGUGUAUUAUGUUCGUGAGGUAUGUGUCACAAUCAUGAAGUGUAUUUCUGUGGGCAGUGAAGUUUGUGCUUCGCGAUCGCGAAGUUGGUCUCGCGAUCGCGAAGUGUUUACCUGGGCAGUGCUUAUAAAAUAUCAUAUUCGG
This 552-nucleotide long non-coding RNA is filed under the name Nicotiana tabacum (common tobacco). RNAcentral's name for it is "long non-coding RNA (NTAB_LNC019058)". Lineage: Eukaryota; Viridiplantae; Streptophyta; Magnoliopsida; Solanales; Solanaceae. The record is from RNAcentral.